ACAUGCCUACAACAUAGUGUUAAUGAAUUGGAUCCCAUUAUAACUCUUUAGUUAAGCACGCUCGAGAUAGAGUAGUACUAGGAUGGGUGACCACUUGGGAAGUCCUAGUAUUUUACAUGCC
Non-coding RNA from Picea glauca (white spruce), 121 nucleotides. The record is from Rfam. NCBI's taxonomy places the organism in Eukaryota, Viridiplantae, Streptophyta, Pinopsida, Pinales, Pinaceae.